This 182-nucleotide ribosomal RNA is filed under the name Citrobacter freundii. RNAcentral's name for it is "partial 16S ribosomal RNA". It matches the Rfam family "Bacterial small subunit ribosomal RNA", at positions 1 to 176 of the family's 1533-position model. The record is from RNAcentral. Lineage: Bacteria; Pseudomonadati; Pseudomonadota; Gammaproteobacteria; Enterobacterales; Enterobacteriaceae.
AAAUUGAAGAGUUUGAUCAUGGCUCAGAUUGAACGCUGGCGGCAGGCCUAACACAUGCAAGUCGAACGGUAGCACAAAGGAGCUUGCUCCUUGGGUGACGAGUGGCGGACGGGUGAGUAAUGUCUGGGAAACUGCCCGAUGGAGGGGGAUAACUACUGGAAACGGUAGCUAAUACCGCAUAA